GACAGUACAGAUAGUGGUGGCGUUACUCUUCAAAUGCAAACAAAAAAUACCUUAAGAAAGUAGAGAGAGAAAGAGGAGAGAAAAAAGGGCUUCGAGUAUAUAUCAUCAUCAUAGUUAUCUCUAUCCAGUAGUGACUUCAUUUUCAUCUCACUCAGAUUCAUUGUUGUAGCUUCUAUCAAUUAAUCUGCUCUCUUUUUCUGUGAGGUUCUUUAAAAGGGUGGAUUUUGGGUUUCUUUCUUCUCCGAUUACUAUACAAUUUAGCAGGUAAAACCCCUUUUUUUCCUCUUUCCUUUUUCCCUCUCUGUAUUGAC
This 311-nucleotide long non-coding RNA is filed under the name Panax ginseng (ginseng). RNAcentral describes it as "long non-coding RNA (PGIN_LNC003474)". The record is from RNAcentral. Lineage: Eukaryota; Viridiplantae; Streptophyta; Magnoliopsida; Apiales; Araliaceae.